Molecule: long non-coding RNA, 1255 nt
Filed under: Marmota monax (woodchuck)
Lineage: Eukaryota; Metazoa; Chordata; Mammalia; Rodentia; Sciuridae
Source: RNAcentral
AAGAGAUUCCCACUCUGUAUGGGUGGGAAGAGGGAAGGGGAGCUUUCUGAGUACCGUGGUCCCUCCCCCUCCCCCGGCUUCACUCCUGAGUCCCUGAAGUUUUGUCCUGGAGGAUGGAGAUGGAGGGCAGGGAUGAAGGAGAUGAGAACAAAGGAUCAAGCAGCGCCUGCUUCUCUGGGGAGCAUCUGUCCUUGGCCUCACUCCACCAUAGACUUGCUGCUGGACCAUGGCUGACUUACUUCCCCUGUCACAUGUUUAGGUUUCCCACCUUGUUUCAUGGGCUCAUUAUCCUAGUAUCUGCUUGCCCUUAGGUGUUUGUGAGGGUUAGAGGUGAGAGCUACCCAAUGGGGAGUGACUUCUUCUAGGGCCUCAGUGGCAGGGCCUAGAAACACUGCCUGUGUGAGACUGCUUGGUAACACCUGUCCCCCGACCUCUGCCAGAAGAAGACACCUUUACUCAUUUGGCCCAUCUCCUUUACCAGUGCCACUCCCACUCCACCAGCCAGAGGAGAAAAGUUGACCUCUGAGGACCAGAAUGGCCUUUCCCUGGCCACUGAGUGCUCAGCCCCUGCAGGUAGCUCCUGUCUAGGUCCUGCUCCUGCUCCUGGGCCCUUCAUCAUCAGCUGGGAGGCCUCUUGACAGUUCUGUGAGUAUGUUUAUAUUGGGGCUGUGCCGUUUGCCAAGGGGGACAAGCCUAUUAUCUUUACAUUAGAGAAACUAAUAGCCCAUUUCCCAGGAAAUCUGUGAGCGAUAAAAAUAAGUGGGCCGUUUUAUUCCUUUUGCCAAGAGAAGCUAGCAUGAAGGACAGCGGAGACUUUGUUUUCUCUCUGGUUAGUGGGAGCGUCAGGGCUGGCUGCUGGCAGGCCAGGGCAGGCAGACACCCCACUGCUCCUGUCCCUGGGCAGUGCAGAGAACAUCUCCAGUUCUGAACAGGCCACAUGUGCCUCCACAACUCCUGUUCCCCUUGCUAAGAGCCCUCCUGUCCCCUCAUCCCCUCAAAAAGCUGAGCCCAGAUGUCACAUGGAGCCUACAACACACCCUUGAGUCAGUUUGCCACCCUUCCCAGGACUAGUUUCACCCAGUGCAGCAUUUCCCGUUGCGAGGUGACAGGCCUAUCCUCUAGUGGAUAAUUUAUAGUUAUCGGUUGGGGGUAUAUGGAGAAGCUAGAGCAAGAGUAACCUUGAAACUCCAGCGCGGUGGAAAACCCUGCCUCUUGGGCCACCUGCCACAAGGACCCUUCACUGUGCCCGGUUUCA